UGGCUCUUUGCUUGCGCAACAACUUCCACCUGGCAUACCUCUUCAGUUUUGUGUCAAUGCUUGUAUCGCAUUGAAUGCAUGGUGGGUUUCUUGUGUUGCAUGCCUAAUUGAUGGUAUCGUUUGACGAAUCGAUGUCUAUUUUCGUCUUGUGUUGCACAUGCGAUGCGAGAUGAACCUUAAAGUAGCCUUUGUGAUCCACUCUUUUGAUGCACAUGCAUCGAUUUUGUGGCUCAUUGAGUGUUUGCUUGGUCUCAUGGAUAUGGAACCUUGUGUGGGCAUGUGAUCUUUUAGUAGCUCCUUGUUUGCCCUAGUUAAGCUUUUCAAAUACGAUUUCCUAUCAUGUUCUAACGUGGUAGGCUAUAUCGAAUAUGAAUG
This 375-nucleotide unclassified non-coding RNA is filed under the name Ozothamnus cupressoides. RNAcentral's name for it is "partial external transcribed spacer". The record is from RNAcentral. Lineage: Eukaryota; Viridiplantae; Streptophyta; Magnoliopsida; Asterales; Asteraceae.